CUGGCGGCAAGCUUAACACAUGCAAGUCGAACGGAUUAUUCUUUAUAGCUUGCUAUAAAGAAUAAUUAGUGGCAGACGGGUGAGUAAUGCAUAGGAAUCUACCUAGUAGUAUGGGAUAGCCACUAGAAACGAUGAGUAACACUGCAUAAUCCCUGCGGGGGAAAGAUUUAUCGCUAUUAUAUGAGCCUAUGUUAGAUUAGCUAGUUGGUGGGGUAAUGGCCCACCAAGGCUGUGAUCUUUAGCUGGUCUGAGAGGAUGAUCAGCCACUCCGUAACUGCGGAAAGGCCCACACUCCCCCCGGAGGCGCAGUGGGGAAUAUUGGACAAUGGGGGGCAGGCUCAUCCAGCUAUUCUGACUGACGGGCGAAGGCUUUAGCGCUGUAAAACUCCUUAAUUAAGAAAAAUAACGACGGUACCAACCAAAGAAGACCCGGCAAUCUCCGUGCCACCAGUCGCCCUAAUACGGAGGCGGCAAGCGUUGUUCGGAAUUAUAGGGCGUAAACGUCAUGAAGGCGGCUCGGUACAUUAAAGGGGAAAUGCCAGGGCUUCAUCCUGGAGCUGCUAUUUAUACUGCCGGACUAGAGUACAGGAGAAGAUGACGGAAUUCCUAGUAUAGAGGUGAAAUUCCUCAUUAUUAGGAGGAACACCAGUGGCGAAGGCGGCUAUCUGGUCCGGUACUACCGCUGCGGGGAGAAAGGGUGGGGAGCAAACAGGAUUAGAUACCCUGGUAGUCCACGCUGUAAACGAUGAGUGCU
This 754-nucleotide ribosomal RNA is filed under the name uncultured Anaplasma sp. RNAcentral's name for it is "bacterial SSU rRNA". It matches the Rfam family "Bacterial small subunit ribosomal RNA", at positions 36 to 817 of the family's 1533-position model. Lineage: Bacteria; Pseudomonadati; Pseudomonadota; Alphaproteobacteria; Rickettsiales; Anaplasmataceae. The record is from RNAcentral.